RNAcentral lists this non-coding RNA (29 nucleotides) under Rattus norvegicus (Norway rat). Lineage: Eukaryota; Metazoa; Chordata; Mammalia; Rodentia; Muridae. The record is from RNAcentral.
UUACAUGUUAUCUCGCCUGGCCUUCAUGA